Molecule: transfer RNA, 68 nt
Filed under: Marmota marmota marmota (Alpine marmot)
Lineage: Eukaryota; Metazoa; Chordata; Mammalia; Rodentia; Sciuridae
Also listed under: 1 other name
Rfam family: tRNA
About the family: Transfer RNA (tRNA) molecules are approximately 80 nucleotides in length. Their secondary structure includes four short double-helical elements and three loops (D, anti-codon, and T loops).
Source: Rfam by way of RNAcentral
GUGGUGGCUCAGUGGAAGAGCACUUGCCUAGCAUGUGGGAGGCACUGGGUUCGAUUCUCAGCACCACA